RNAcentral lists this ribosomal RNA (465 nucleotides) under Vreelandella stevensii. RNAcentral describes it as "partial 16S ribosomal RNA". It matches the Rfam family "Bacterial small subunit ribosomal RNA", at positions 338 to 795 of the family's 1533-position model. Lineage: Bacteria; Pseudomonadati; Pseudomonadota; Gammaproteobacteria; Oceanospirillales; Halomonadaceae. The record is from RNAcentral.
CCUACGGGCGGCUGCAGUGGGGAAUAUUGGACAAUGGGCGAAAGCCUGAUCCAGCCAUGCCGCGUGUGUGAAGAAGGCCUUCGGGUUGUAAAGCACUUUCAGUGGGGAAGAAAGCCUUGGGGCUAAUACCCUCGAGGAAGGACAUCACCCACAGAAGAAGCACCGGCUAACUCCGUGCCAGCAGCCGCGGUAAUACGGAGGGUGCGAGCGUUAAUCGGAAUUACUGGGCGUAAAGCGCGCGUAGGCGGUCUGAUAAGCCGGUUGUGAAAGCCCCGGGCUCAACCUGGGAACGGCAUCCGGAACUGUCAGGCUAGAGUGCAGGAGAGGAAGGUAGAAUUCCCUGUGUAGCGGUGAAAUGCGUAGAGAUCGGGAGGAAUACCAGUGGCGAAGGCGGCCUUCUGGACUGACACUGACGCUGAGGUGCGAAAGCGUGGGGAGCAAACAGGAUUAGAUACCCCGGUAGUC